RNAcentral lists this long non-coding RNA (820 nucleotides) under Vulpes vulpes (red fox). Its description in RNAcentral is "lncRNA (ENSVVUG00000007968.1)". Lineage: Eukaryota; Metazoa; Chordata; Mammalia; Carnivora; Canidae. The record is from RNAcentral.
AAAAUAAAUAAAUAAUAAAUAAAUAAAAUAAUAACCAUAAUUAUUUCCCUUCCUAUAUCCGCAUCCCUUUGCAGUGUGAGUUUGCAGGUAUUCCCAUUAAGAGAUAAAGUCUAUUUCACCAUCCUUUGAAUCUGGAAUGGCUAAUACAAUGUGCUAGAAGCUAUAUUGCCCAUUCUGAUCUAGUCCUUAGAAAACUUGUACAUUCCCUACUCUCUUAGUCCAUUUGGGCUGCUAUAACAGAAUACCAUUGACUAGGUGGCUCAAACAACAAACAUUUGUUUCUCACAGUUGGUCAAGGCCUUGGCAGACUCAGUGUCUGAUUAUAGUUCACUUCCUAAUUCAUAGACAGGCAUUUUCUCUCUGUGUCCUCCUGUAGUGGAAGGGAUCUCUUUUAUAAGGGCAUUAAUCUUAUUCAUGAAGGCUCUGCCUUUGUGACCUAAUCACAUUCCAAAGGCCUCAUCUGCUAGUAUCAUCACACUGGGAGGUAGCGUUUCACCAUAUUGAAUUUGGGGAAGGAUGCAGUCAGUCUAUAGCAUCUGCUUCCCUCUCAGAAGCCCGUUGCUGUCACAUGGACAAGCAAGCAAGAAGGAAGAUGAAAGACACAUGGCCCAGUCAACACUCCCUACUGACUAUACAGCUAACCUCCAGAAGCAGAGCCACCUACCUGGCCUGCAGGGCCCACGGAAGGAAGACCCACGGAGACCCACAGGUGAAGUAUAUUGAAUGGAAUUACAACUUUCAGAGGAAAGAGCCAGAUUAUAAAAGGAAAUCCCUGGAUCCCAAAGCUAGAAAGAGCUCUCUCUUUCCCAAACACAGAUGA